GUCCUUGUCAGUCACCUCGCUGCAGGUGCACAUCAUUUGUAGGUGGCUCGCGCAAGUCGCUGCAGGUGCAUCCAAUCCAACAACGACACGAACGCCGUGGCGGUAACCGCCAAAAUAUCUCACAACCUCCCAGCCCCACGUCCCCUUCCUGCCGGCUUCGGCCUGUACCGUAGCGGCGGCAGCCGCCGGCCGAGCAGAUUCUGCACCCGGAGAGGCUGUGCAGUGGGUGGCCAGUAUCACGCUAAACGCCACGCCCAACAUGCCUAAACAAAAUAAAUAGUCACAGAAUUCACUGUUCGCUUUAGCACGUGCGAGCAUCAAUGCAAAAGCGUGGGUCCACACUUCGUGGUGGGUGGGUGGUAGCCUGGGCCCUGGUGUCUGGUGUAGACGAAGACGGCCACGGCGACCCGUUGCCGUUGCACGCCGACGCCGCAUUGACUUUUGAGCCACCAAGUCUCGAGCGAUGCGCCACACUGCCCGCUGCCACUGACCACUGAUUAGCUUCGCCUCGCUAUACCUAUACAUAUCCGGCGGGCGGCGGCUCGACAGGAGCACCUAGCAGCCAGCAGCGGACGCGCGGACAAGGGCAGCGGCAUGGCGGAGACGGCGAUCACGACGGUGCUGGCCAAAGUGGCGGAGCUGGUGGCGUGGGAGGCGGCUGUGCUGCUGGAGGUGGGCGACGACGUGCGCCUCCUCCGGGACAAGCUCGAGUGGCUCCACACCUUCAUCCGCGACGCCGACCGCCGCCGCCGCCGCCGCGACGACGAGUUCGUCGCCGUCUGGGUGCGCCAGACCCGCGACGUCGCCUUCGAGGCCGAGGACGCGCUGGACGACUUCCUACACCGCGCUGGGCGGAGGAAGGCCGCGCUGGGCUCCCGGUGCGCGCUCGGGUGCUGGUGGCCCGGCGGGUGCGCCGGCCAGGUCGCGCUCCGCCACGACCUCUCGGGGCGUAUCCGCCAGAUCAGGAAGCGGCUCGAUAAGAUCUCCGAGAACCGCGCCGACUACAACAUCGAGCACACGCCCGCGCCGGCCUGGGCCGCUUGCUCCUCCUCCGCCACCACCCUCGCUGCCUGGGACGAUCUAGAGGAGUACACGGUCGGCCUGGACAAGUACAGCGACAUGCUUAAGGAGCAGCUCCUCGACGACUCCGUCCCCGCGCGCGCGCUCGUGGCCAUCGCCGGCGAGAGCAGCAUUGGCAAGACGACGCUCGCGCGGAAGGUGUACCAGAGCCUCGAGGUCCGCAACCACUUCGAGAUCCGCACGUGGACGGUGCUCCCGCACAAGUGCCGCGCCGCCGACGUUCUCCGCGACAUCCACGAGCAGAUGACCUCCCAGCUGCGGCGGACCCCGUCCGCGUCCAACUCCAAGCAGGCCGUGGAAGACGCCUGCGAUGACAAAGCCUUCGGGCCGGGAAAGGACAUCAGCAACCAGCUGUACAGGAGCAUGACGGGGAGGCGGUACCUCGUGGUCAUCGACGGCAGCGUUGCCGUCACGGACUGGAACAGCCUACGAGCUUCCCUCCCCGACGAGGGCAACGGCAGCAGGGUGCUUCUGAUCACGGACUUGGAAGGCCUGGAGGUGGUCGGCCACGCUCAGGCUGGCCACACGUACGACCCGAUCGAGCUGACCCGGCUGAGCCCGGAGAGCACGUACGAGGUGUUCCGACGCCGGGUGUUCGGCGCCCGCGGCGACUGCCCCGGCCGGUACAAGUCGAGGUACUACCAAGACGUGUUCCGGAUCACGCGUGGCCUGCCGCUGUCGAUCGUCGUCCUCGCCGGUAUCCUGCGGUCCAAGGAGCUGCCCGCAGAGUGGGACGAGGUGAUGGCGCAGCUGGCCCCGCCGGCGCGCGAGCAGCAAAGGGGCGGCAGCGGCGGCAGCAGCAACAGCUGGCCCCGGAUCAUGUCGCGGGCCUUCGACGACCUGCCGCACCACCUCAAGUCGUGCUUCCUAUACCUGGCGGCGAUGCGGGAGAGCACCCCGGUGGACGCGCAGCGCCUGGUGCGCCUGUGGGUGGCCGAGGGGUUCGUGCGCCCGCGCCGCGGGAGCACCAUGGAGGAGGUCGGGCAGGGGUACCUCAAGGAGCUCAUCUCCCGGUGCAUGGUGCAGCUGGUGGACAAGGACGACUUCGGCGCCGUGCUGACGGUGGUGGUGCACGACCGGCUGCACGCAUUCGCGCAGGACGAGGCACAGGAGGCCAGCUUCAUCGAGAGCCACGACAGCACAGACGUGCUCGCGCCGGCCACCGUGCGGCGCCUCGCCGUCCUCAACUCCACCACGGACAGGUACGUCCAGCUCAGCAACGCGCUCCCCAAGCUGCGCUCCAUCAUCUGCGACCUGGUGGAGGGUCGCCGAGUCAGGUCCAGCAACUUCAUCCGCACCAGCGACCUGAGCUUCCUCCAUGCUUCCAAGUUCCUCCGUGUCAUCGACAUCCAGGGACUCGAGCUCAAGAGGCUCCCAAACGAGAUCGGCUCCAUGAUCCAUUUGAGGUACCUGGGUCUCCGCUGCGGCCACCUAGAGAAGCUCCCAAGCACCAUUGGCAACCUUGUCAACCUGCAGUCGCUCAUCCUCGGCGGCCGCCACGUUCUGGAGGUGCCCGCCGCGUUCUGGAGGAUCGCCACGCUGCGGCACGUCGUCGCGCGGUUCGCUCUGCCGAGCAGGGCCCUGGGCAACCUGCACAGCCUCCAGACGCUACAUGGCGUGCAGCCCCGCGGGUGGGGCGGCGACUACAACCCGCUGGGGAAGGCCGCCAACCUCCGGUCGCUGGAGCUGGGCGAGCUGACCUCCGAGCACGCCGAUGCGCUCGAGGCCGCGUUGGAGAACCUCGACCUCCUGGAGCACCUGGCGCUGCGGGGCGACCCGCUGCCGUCGAGCGUGUUCAGCGUCCCGAGCCUCCGCCGGCUGCAGAGCCUGAGGCUGAUGGGCGCCAUGGAUGAGCCGGAGGGGCCCAGCUGCGCGGAGGACGUCCGGUACAUCCGGCCGAACCUGACCAGGCUAUCGAUGUGGAAUACCGAGGUGGGGCAGAAGUUCGUGGACAUGCUGGCCGAGCUGCCGAGCCUGGCCGAGCUGACGAUGAUGUACGACUCAUACGACGGCGAUCGGCUGGCGUUCGUGGAGACUGGGUUCCCGAGCCUGCAGAAGCUAAAGCUCGGUCUACCGGAGCUGGAGGAGUGGACGGUGGCCCCGGGGUCCAUGCCGGGGCUCGGCACGCUGACGCUGUGCCGGUGCGCCAGGAUGCAGAUGCUCCCGGAGGCGCUCGCCGGGAUGAGGGAGCUGGAGGAGGUGGUGCUGUACAGCAUGCCCGACAUCGUGAGCAGGAUCAAGGAGGACGAAGGCCAGGAUUACCACAAAGUCAAGCACGUACCCGUCAUCCAGACUAUAUACUGAUCAUCCCCAUCUGGUGAAUGGUGAUUGACCCGUUGUCAACACUGGCUGCUUCAACUCAUGAGCGACUAUGGGUUUAAAUUUGGUUCAUGCCAAACUCCGAAAAAACAAUAUGAACUUUGUGUUGUGGACCAAUUGGUGAACCCGAGUAGCAGAGUGAGCGAUGUGUUUGGGCUUUAUAUUUUCAUGUGAUGGUGUACUUAUUAGAAGUGAAACAUAUGUUUGGACUUGUAUUCUUGCAAGACUUUUAUGUUUGGACAUAUAUAUUUUUAAAUUUGAACUCGUUGUUAGUGUUUGAUUUCUACAUGUAAACUGUUGUUAUGUC
Zea mays is the source of this 3706-nucleotide RNA transcript. It is a transcript of the gene named disease resistance protein RPP13-like, with no coding region annotated. NCBI's taxonomy places the organism in Eukaryota, Viridiplantae, Streptophyta, Magnoliopsida, Poales, Poaceae. The record is from RefSeq and is marked validated. The transcript is spliced from 4 exons.